Long non-coding RNA from Peromyscus californicus insignis, 3094 nucleotides. RefSeq lists it as uncharacterized. The transcript is spliced from 4 exons. The record is from RefSeq and is a predicted model, not a curated record. NCBI's taxonomy places the organism in Eukaryota, Metazoa, Chordata, Mammalia, Rodentia, Cricetidae.
UAGAUUUUUUUCAUACAAUAUAUUGUGGUUACAGUUUACUGUCCCCCAAAUCCUCCUAGAUCCUCUCCACUUCUCUUCCCAUAUCCACAUCUCGUCUCCCCUUAGAAAACAAACAGGCAUUCUGAACCCACCUUCAGGAUUCUCUUCUGUGUGCUUUGCCUUCACUAGCCACGAGGGGGCGCCUGUGGAACCACUCAGGUUUUCUAUGCACUUGUAAACUCAGGACUUGCCAGGCAAGCAACCGCUCAGGCCCUUCUCAGAACCAUGACAAGAGUCCCCUCCACCUCAGUGCUUUCAUGAUACCUAAAGCCCCCCUCAUUCUCCUCCCUUACCUCAACCCGUGGUCCUCUAACUCCUAUAUUCUUCUUCUUUUCCUGAGCAGAGUUGGGAUCAUUGAAAAGCCUUUGUUGUUCUGGCCACAUGUGGCUCACAUUUGCAAGCAUGGCUCCUUACUUCAGGGUUACAGAAUGUUCCUGAACAUCUACUUUCAUUCCAUCCAUCUAUUCCGAAAACAUCGGCUCCACAUCUGGAGAGAUGGAGGAGCGGGGAAGGGGAUUAAGGACACGUCAGACAACCUUGCUUUCAGAGGAAAGCAUGGUGUGGCAGAAGAUGACAUGGCUAUAACCAGCUGGGCCUGGCAUUGCAGGCUGGCCAUCCCAGUUACUUGGAAGGCUGAGACAGGAGGAUUGAAGAUUCCAGACCUGCCUGUCUCAGAAUUAAAAAUGGAAGACUAUGAUGAGGAGAUGGGGUCCUGGCCUCGUCACCCAGCUGGGUGAGGUGGUAUCUUCCUCCUGAGGCUAUGCAAGGUCUGCGUUUGGCUCAGAGCUCAGAACUCAGCUGAUCGUGGCCACAGACACAAGAAGGCUAGAAAGGUGCCUGGUUCUAGGGCCAGAUAAGAGGGCUUCAUCAGCCCCUUCUGCUAUGGGCCUUCCAGAAUGAUUCAACUGGGGAGCAUCUCCAUUACAAAGCUGAUAAGGCCGUGGUACUAUCUCACUUCUGACUUCUGGAUCAACCCAAGACAGUGUCAUGAGAGUUCAUGUUAUGCCAGUUUCAGCGAGGACUGCUGUGCUACCCACUGUCUGGCUCCCCCUUCGGACUGGAGUGUGAUGGAACUGCAUAAAGCUGCUCUUCUGCCCAAAGCUGCUCUUCUGCCCAAAGCUUCCUGGCCCUUCCAGGACACGGAGCACCUGGAUGGCCUCCUUCCCUGAAGGUGAUGGGGAGAAGGGAAGAAGCUGGAUUUGUCCCCGAGGGUGGCAGACAGGACAGUAUUCAUCUGGCAAAUCUCCUGGCAGGUAGGUCUGGUGAGGGUCAUCACCUUGGAAGGGAUAGGUCCCCUCCACUGGGCACUAAACAAGCAACAUGUCCUCUGUACUUCACAGUCUAGGUAGCCCUUUCCAUGCUCAUUGAGUCAUUCAAUGAACCGAGAGCAAGCACUGGACUGGUCAUUAGGGCCGUGGAUUUGAUCCUGCUCUGGGUUCCCCUCAAAAUUUCUCUCUGUGGAUGUGGGGAGAUGGCUCAGUAGGCCAAAUGCUUGCUGCAUGAGCUUAGGGCCUUGAACUUGGAUCCUCCACACCCACGUCAAAAAGCUAGUUUUGGAGGCAAGUACAGUUAAUAGUCCAGCACACUGCAUACCCCUGGAGUUUUGUGUCUUCUCGACCUACCAUGGACAGCAACGGUGACAGCUAGACUGCCCAACAAGCAUAAUCCACACCCUCCCACGUCUCCCCUUCCUGUGCCUCAGUUUCCCCUGGUGCAUCCAAAAGGUCCUCCCUCUAUCAUAGACAUGGGUAGAUCUUAUGACUCCAAAUCUGCUGUGGACUCAGUAAACUGAAGAGCUCAGUCUCCAGCUCCAUAGGCAGGUCCAGAGCCCUAAACCAGGACAGAUGCAGUUAGCCUGGCUGACUGGGCACGAGGCACUGGACCAAGGUUGAGAUAUAUACACAACUCAUCCAGCACACACACUAUUGCAACCUGAGCUCUUGCUGUCCAUCACUGGUGACGUCUGCAUCCUGGAGCCAAGUCCCAGCUGUCACUAAGGUUUCAUCUCUCCCCAUGGAGAGCUCCACAUUGUAAAUCAGGUGCCUGUGGAUGAGAGAAGGGGAGGAGGGCUGUGGAAUGCUGAAAUCCCACAUCAGCACUCAGAUGGCAGGGCCACUGGCCUUUUACACAGCGAUAGGGCUCCAGGUCCUGUCCAUGUUCCCAGGCCCUCCACGCACUGCAUGAGGAUGAGUUGAACACAAAAGGGAUCCUGGCUCUGCCUCAGGUAGUUUCAACUCAACUUCUAACCCUAUCUGGCUUCAUAUAUUGCUCCAUGCAAGGAGGAGGGUCUCUGGAUGAGCACUCAAGGGAACCCUGACUUUGGCUCUCUCGGGCUCUCACAUGGGAGACCUAGGUUCAAAACCGGAGGGUGUGAGGAGGCUAAGCUGGGGUCUCAUUCCUGGUCUCUUUCUCUUUUGGAUGGCAGUCUGCAUCCUAACACCUGGACAUCUGGUGCUAUGGCAGUCCUUUUAUAAUGCCAUAAAUGCUCCAGGAUGUCAGUAUUAGAAAGCACCACCGUCUGGUAUCCCAAGAAAGAGUAAGCCACUGCCACAAAAGAUGGGACAAGCUAGACCCAUAAGCUGUGACGUGAUGCUUCCUGCUGCUUUCAAUCCUUUUCAGGAUGUGCAUGUGUGUUGGGGGAGGGGUUGCAUGUAUGUAGUUUCACAUGUGUGUUGGUGUGUGUGUAUCUAUGUGCACCUGAAUGUGGAGUCAGGGCUUGAUGUUAGGAACUAUCCUCAAUCAUUCUCCCACCUUAUUCUUUGAGGCAAGGUCUCUCAAGCAAGCCAGAGCUCACUGAUAUGGAUAGUCAUGCUGGCCAGUUCAUCUUGUCUCUGCCUUGCGAGGCCAGGAUUACACAUAGUUCGCCAUGUCUACCCAGAAUUUACAGGGGGUCUGGUGGAUCCGAACUCUGGUCCUUGCACUUUGCUGAGCAAGCACUUAACUGCUGAGGUGUUUCUUCAGCAACCCCAAGACUUUCCCUUCUUAUUCUGUGUUUAUCAAGAGAGAUCCUUUGGAUACAUUUAGAUUUAGUUUAGUUUUUUUUUAAUUGCAUGCU